This 497-nucleotide ribosomal RNA is filed under the name uncultured bacterium. RNAcentral describes it as "partial 16S ribosomal RNA". It matches the Rfam family "Bacterial small subunit ribosomal RNA", at positions 28 to 507 of the family's 1533-position model. The record is from RNAcentral.
GACGAACGCUGGCGGCGUGCCUAAUACAUGCAAGUUGAGCGAUGAAGAUUGGUGCUUGCACCAAUUUGAAGAGCAGCGAACGGGUGAGUAACGCGUGGGGAAUCUGCCUUUGAGCGGGGGACAACAUUUGGAAACGAAUGCUAAUACCGCAUAACAACUUUAAACAUAAGUUUUAAGUUUGAAAGAUGCAAUUGCAUCACUCAAAGAUGAUCCCGCGUUGUAUUAGCUAGUUGGUGAGGUAAAGGCUCACCAAGGCGAUGAUACAUAGCCGACCUGAGAGGGUGAUCGGCCACAUUGGGACUGAGACACGGCCCAAACUCCUACGGGAGGCAGCAGUAGGGAAUCUUCGGCAAUGGAUGAAAGUCUGACCGAGCAACGCCGCGUGAGUGAAGAAGGGUUUCGGAUCGUAAAACUCUGUUGGUAGAGAAGAACGUUGGUGAGAGUGGAAAGCUCAUCAAGUGACGGUAACUACCCAGAAAGGGACGGCUAACUACGUG